CUAAAAAUUUGACGUUGGUAACUUCCAAGCAUUGUACAGAAUAGAAAAGGAGCGCAAGUUUUAACAAAGAUUCAGUUAAGUGUCGUAAUGUAUGUAGGUAAAUAUGUGUACCUGGGUACCUACUUGAUAAAGUGGAUUACAAAAAAAAAAAUCAAACGAUUUUGAACAAAUGCAUUGGAGACCUCAAUUCUGAAUUGGAAGUUAUUCAGAAGAAACUUCAGCUUAGGAGAUGUCCCUGGCGGAAAGAUUCUGCGUCGACCUUGACCAUUGCCAUCAGACAUUUUUUUGCGGCGGUUCUACUGAGCAAUUGAAAAAUUUCCAAUGGUCACUAACAAGCACCAAUCGCGUUUUACGUGCUUAAGAUUCUUAUCCCACCGAUCAGGAUUGCCCUCGUGAGGGUCAAGUAUUUGAUCGUUGGGGAAAUGAUUGUAUGCGGAGUUGUGGUACCGCAAAAAUAUGCUCCCUCGUAGAAGAACCUGGCUGUGGAUGUAAAAAAGGCUUUUGUUUAGACUCUGUAAGAAACUGCGUCGAAAAACCCAACUGACCCUAGGGGGUCAAAGGUUGGGCGGGCAACCAGUCUCGCUCUCCUCCCCUCGCCCUCCUCCUGCAACCAGGAUUAAGAUUGUAAUUCAAGUACCUAUACAUUUUACUGUUAGAUGCGUAAGUUGAAAAUAUAUUUUUUUUAAAAAAACCUCUGACUCUGAGUGCUAAAAAUUAGACUUCCGUAAAUCUCAAGCAUUGUAUUAUAGAACAGAAAAGUUGUGCAAGUUCUUAAUACCUAUAUACAUUCAGUUAUGUAUCGUAAUGUAUGUAAUAUACAUAUUUUCAUUCGCCUCA
Planococcus citri (citrus mealybug) is the source of this 837-nucleotide long non-coding RNA. RefSeq lists it as uncharacterized. Lineage: Eukaryota; Metazoa; Arthropoda; Insecta; Hemiptera; Pseudococcidae. The transcript has 5 exons. The record is from RefSeq and is a predicted model, not a curated record.